Long non-coding RNA from Syngnathus acus (greater pipefish), 263 nucleotides. RefSeq lists it as uncharacterized. The transcript is spliced from 3 exons. Lineage: Eukaryota; Metazoa; Chordata; Actinopteri; Syngnathiformes; Syngnathidae. The record is from RefSeq and is a predicted model, not a curated record.
CGACGGGCACACAGACUGCUCCUGCUCGGGCUUUCAAACCGAGACCUCCACAUGGCUUCCAGGUGGGAAUGAAGUUGGAAGCUGUGGACAGAAGGAACCCCAUGCUCAUUCGUGUCGCCACAAUCGCAGACACGGAAGACCACCGGCUUAAGAUCCAUUUUGAUGGCUGGAAUCCAGAUGAUGACUUCUGGGUGGAGACCGACUGCCCCGACCUGCACCCUGUAGGCUGGUGUCACAAGACUGGACACUCUUUGCAGCACCCU